UGGGGAAUAUUGCACAAUGGGGGAAACCCUGAUGCAGCGACGCCGCGUGAGUGAAGAAGUAUUUCGGUAUGUAAAGCUCUAUCAGCAGGGAAGAUAAUGACAGUACCUGACUAAGAAGCCCCGGCUAACUACGUGCCAGCAGCCGCGGUAAUACGUAGGGGGCAAGCGUUAUCCGGAUUUACUGGGUGUAAAGGGAGCGUAGACGGAGUGGCAAGUCUGAAGUGAAAACCCUGGGCUUAACCUGGGGACUGCUUUGGAAACUGUUAAUCUAGAGUGUUGGAGAGGUAAGUGGAAUUCCUGGUGUAGCGGUGAAAUGCGUAGAUAUCAGGAAGAACACCGGAGGCGAAGGCGGCUUACUGGACAAUAACUGACGUUGAGGCUCGAAAGCGUGGGGAUCAAACAGGAUUAGAUACCCUGGUAGUCCACGCUGUAAACGAUGAAUACUAGGUGUCGGGGAGCAAAGCUUCUCGGUGCCGUCGCUAACGCAAUAAGUAUUCCACCUGGGGAGUACGUUCGCAAGAAUG
This 524-nucleotide ribosomal RNA is filed under the name uncultured bacterium. Its description in RNAcentral is "bacterial SSU rRNA". It matches the Rfam family "Bacterial small subunit ribosomal RNA", at positions 355 to 896 of the family's 1533-position model. The record is from RNAcentral.